This 1264-nucleotide long non-coding RNA is filed under the name Cyanistes caeruleus (blue tit). RNAcentral describes it as "lncRNA (ENSCCEG00000002543.1)". The record is from RNAcentral. Lineage: Eukaryota; Metazoa; Chordata; Aves; Passeriformes; Paridae.
CCUUUACAUUCAACAAGCCUACUAUAUAUUUGGACAAUCUGCUGUGUGUAUGUUUCUGCUGCAAUGUUCUGUUCAUGAUAUGAUUGUGACAAGACAAAUUUAAAUGGACAGUUACAAUAAUCCAUUACCAUUUAUUUUCAGAAAUUUUAGCAGAUGUGUGUUUUUUGCAUAGCCUUUUCAUAACAAAACAGAUUCAUAAUCUUAUGCUCCCCUGCAGGCAAAGACUUUCUGUCUGAAAAACAUCACUGGCUUCUAAUUGGAGAAGCAGGCAGAAAAGAGAGGAACAUUUUAAUUACCUUUCGUAAAAUACUGCAUUGCAAAAGUCAGUUGAGACGUUUCUGUGACAUGAGGUGUAUAGAACAGGUACGCUAUUACAACCCUAGCAUGAUUUGUGUUCAACUUUAAAUCAAGAUUGCAAUCACUUGCACUUAAAGGACAUGUAGAUAUGGCACUUAGGUACAUGGCUUAGUCAUGAAAUUGGCAGUGCUGAGUUAAUGGCUGAAGUUGAAGAACUUUAAAAAGUGUCUUCCAUCCUAAAAUAUUCUAUGGUUCUAUGACUUGAUUACAGCUAGUAGCAUUCCAGAGUAGCAAUCUUACCUCUAACAGUUACAAGGAUUUACAGAAAUUUUCUUGGGUUGUGUUACUGUUUAAGAUGAUCAAGACUGGAGGAGUUUCUCAGUGCACGGAAAUACAAGUUUCCCUGGGAUGUCACGAAGGUGCACUAACUCACAGCGUAAGUAGAAUGCCUUAAAUCAGGGAGUAACUUGAAAUGGUUUAAACCAACUUUAUGUAUGUGACAUACAAAUAUCUAGAUCAUAAACCUGUAUGAUUGUAUGCUCCUCAAUACCUAACAUAUAUCUGUAUGAUACACAGGUAAACUAAGUUUAUAUUAGGAAAAAAGGCUAAAGCGGUAAAUAUCAGCUAAAACAACAGGCAAUGCACUGACAUUUAGCAUAAUUUAAAAUGCAAGAAGAAAAAAAUCUACUUAAAACUCAGUCGAAGCAGAGCAAAUAUUUGAAAUUCUGUUCUAUACAGUAGUCUCCUUUAAAGGCUUAAAUGGAUAUUCCUAUGAAUUAGAAGUAAAAAUGAGUACUUAGUUAAAAUGUACAGUCAAAUUGUCAGUUGUCAUUGCAUCAUAAUAUAAAAUGAAUUAGCAUUUCACCAUUUUGGCAUAGCCUUCCUAAUUCCUAGAUUUUUUAAACUGACACAGAUGUCUAUAGAAAAUGAUUCAUGCUAGGCAGUGGCAUAUGAGCUGUAAUGGACA